RNAcentral lists this ribosomal RNA (252 nucleotides) under uncultured bacterium. RNAcentral's name for it is "partial 16S ribosomal RNA". It matches the Rfam family "Bacterial small subunit ribosomal RNA", at positions 524 to 775 of the family's 1533-position model. The record is from RNAcentral.
UACGAGGGGGGCGAGCGUUGCUCGGAAUCACUGGGCGUAAAGGGUGCGUAGGCGGGUUUUUAAGUCAGAGGUGAAAUCCUGGAGCUCAACUCCAGAACUGCCUUUGAUACUGAAAGUCUUGAGUAUGGGAGAGGUGAGUGGAACUGCGAGUGUAGAGGUGAAAUUCGUAGAUAUUCGCAAGAACACCAGUGGCGAAGGCGGCUCACUGGCCCAUAACUGACGCUGAGGCACGAAAGCGUGGGGAGCAACAGG